RNAcentral lists this ribosomal RNA (2493 nucleotides) under Salmonella enterica subsp. enterica serovar Telelkebir. RNAcentral describes it as "partial 23S ribosomal RNA". It matches the Rfam family "Bacterial large subunit ribosomal RNA", at positions 429 to 2803 of the family's 2925-position model. Lineage: Bacteria; Pseudomonadati; Pseudomonadota; Gammaproteobacteria; Enterobacterales; Enterobacteriaceae. The record is from RNAcentral.
GUAUCCUGUCUGAAUAUGGGGGGACCAUCCUCCAAGGCUAAAUACUCCUGACUGACCGAUAGUGAACCAGUACCGUGAGGGAAAGGCGAAAAGAACCCCGGCGAGGGGAGUGAAAAAGAACCUGAAACCGUGUACGUACAAGCAGUGGGAGCCCCACCACCAAAGCAUUCUCUGGUGUUGAAGGCCCUGCAAAGCAGCAUCGCGGUGGCGGAGCGUCGUUUGCGACGCCCAACACAUAAAACAAGCGGUGAGUGCUUUGGGGUGGGGUGACUGCGUACCUUUUGUAUAAUGGGUCAGCGACUUAUAUUCUGUAGCAAGGUUAACCGAAUAGGGGAGCCGCAGGGAAACCGAGUCUUAAUUGGGCGUUAAGUUGCAGGGUAUAGACCCGAAACCCGGUGAUCUAGCCAUGGGCAGGUUGAAGGUUGGGUAACACUAACUGGAGGACCGAACCGACUAAUGUUGAAAAAUUAGCGGAUGACCUGUGGCUGGGGGUGAAAGGCCAAUCAAACCGGGAGAUAGCUGGUUCUCCCCGAAAGCUAUUUAGGUAGCGCCUCGUGAAUUCAUCUCCGGGGGUAGAGCACUGUUUCGGCUAGGGGGCCAUCCCGGCUUACCAACCCGAUGCAAACUGCGAAUACCGGAGAAUGUUAUCACGGGAGACACACGGCGGGUGCUAACGUCCGUCGUGAAGAGGGAAACAACCCAGACCGCCAGCUAAGGUCCCAAAGUCAUGGUUAAGUGGGAAACGAUGUGGGAAGGCCCAGACAGCCAGGAUGUUGGCUUAGAAGCAGCCAUCAUUUAAAGAAAGCGUAAUAGCUCACUGGUCGAGUCGGCCUGCGCGGAAGAUGUAACGGGGCUAAACCAUGCACCGAAGCUGCGGCAGCGACGCUGAUGCGUUGUUGGGUAGGGGAGCGUUCUGUAAGCCUGUGAAGGUGGCCUGUGAGGGUUGCUGGAGGUAUCAGAAGUGCGAAUGCUGACAUAAGUAACGAUAAAGCGGGUGAAAAGCCCGCUCGCCGGAAGACCAAGGGUUCCUGUCCAACGUUAAUCGGGGCAGGGUGAGUCGACCCCUAAGGCGAGGCCGAAAGGCGUAGUCGAUGGGAAACGGGUUAAUAUUCCCGUACUUGGUGUUACUGCGAAGGGGGGACGGAGAAGGCUAUGUUGGCCGGGCGACGGUUGUCCCGGUUUAAGCGUGUAGGUGUGUGUUCCAGGUAAAUCCGGUUCACUUUAACACUGAGGCGUGACGACGAGGCACUACGGUGCUGAAGCAACAAAUGCCCUGCUUCCAGGAAAAGCCUCUAAGCAUCAGGUAACAUCAAAUCGUACCCCAAACCGACACAGGUGGUCAGGUAGAGAAUACCAAGGCGCUUGAGAGAACUCGGGUGAAGGAACUAGGCAAAAUGGUGCCGUAACUUCGGGAGAAGGCACGCUGACACGUAGGUGAAGUGAUUUACUCAUGGAGCUGAAGUCAGUCGAAGAUACCAGCUGGCUGCAACUGUUUAUUAAAAACACAGCACUGUGCAAACACGAAAGUGGACGUAUACGGUGUGACGCCUGCCCGGUGCCGGAAGGUUAAUUGAUGGGGUCAGCGCAAGCGAAGCUCCUGAUCGAAGCCCCGGUAAACGGCGGCCGUAACUAUAACGGUCCUAAGGUAGCGAAAUUCCUUGUCGGGUAAGUUCCGACCUGCACGAAUGGCGUAAUGAUGGCCAGGCUGUCUCCACCCGAGACUCAGUGAAAUUGAACUCGCUGUGAAGAUGCAGUGUACCCGCGGCAAGACGGAAAGACCCCGUGAACCUUUACUAUAGCUUGACACUGAACAUUGAGCCUUGAUGUGUAGGAUAGGUGGGAGGCUUUGAAGUGUGGACGCCAGUCUGCAUGGAGCCGACCUUGAAAUACCACCCUUUAAUGUUUGAUGUUCUAACGUGGACCCGUGAUCCGGGUUGCGGACAGUGUCUGGUGGGUAGUUUGACUGGGGCGGUCUCCUCCUAAAGAGUAACGGAGGAGCACGAAGGUUGGCUAAUCCUGGUCGGACAUCAGGAGGUUAGUGCAAUGGCAUAAGCCAGCUUGACUGCGAGCGUGACGGCGCGAGCAGGUGCGAAAGCAGGUCAUAGUGAUCCGGUGGUUCUGAAUGGAAGGGCCAUCGCUCAACGGAUAAAAGGUACUCCGGGGAUAACAGGCUGAUACCGCCCAAGAGUUCAUAUCGACGGCGGUGUUUGGCACCUCGAUGUCGGCUCAUCACAUCCUGGGGCUGAAGUAGGUCCCAAGGGUAUGGCUGUUCGCCAUUUAAAGUGGUACGCGAGCUGGGUUUAGAACGUCGUGAGACAGUUCGGUCCCUAUCUGCCGUGGGCGCUGGAGAACUGAGGGGGGCUGCUCCUAGUACGAGAGGACCGGAGUGGACGCAUCACUGGUGUUCGGGUUGUCAUGCCAAUGGCACUGCCCGGUAGCUAAAUGCGGAAGAGAUAAGUGCUGAAAGCAUCUAAGCACGAAACUUGCCCCGAG